This 464-nucleotide ribosomal RNA is filed under the name Vreelandella stevensii. Its description in RNAcentral is "partial 16S ribosomal RNA". It matches the Rfam family "Bacterial small subunit ribosomal RNA", at positions 339 to 795 of the family's 1533-position model. The record is from RNAcentral. Lineage: Bacteria; Pseudomonadati; Pseudomonadota; Gammaproteobacteria; Oceanospirillales; Halomonadaceae.
CUACGGGCGGCUGCAGUGGGGAAUAUUGGACAAUGGGCGAAAGCCUGAUCCAGCCAUGCCGCGUGUGUGAAGAAGGCCUUCGGGUUGUAAAGCACUUUCAGUGGGGAAGAAAGCCUUGGGGCUAAUACCCUCGAGGAAGGACAUCACCCACAGAAGAAGCACCGGCUAACUCCGUGCCAGCAGCCGCGGUAAUACGGAGGGUGCGAGCGUUAAUCGGAAUUACUGGGCGUAAAGCGCGCGUAGGCGGUCUGAUAAGCCGGUUGUGAAAGCCCCGGGCUCAACCUGGGAACGGCAUCCGGAACUGUCAGGCUAGAGUGCAGGAGAGGAAGGUAGAAUUCCCGGUGUAGCGGUGAAAUGCGUAGAGAUCGGGAGGAAUACCAGUGGCGAAGGCGGCCUUCUGGACUGACACUGACGCUGAGGUGCGAAAGCGUGGGUAGCAAACAGGAUUAGAUACCCCGGUAGUC